GUAGGUGGCAAGCGUUGUCCGGAAUUAUUGGGCGUAAAGCGCGCGCAGGUGGGUUCUUUAAGUCUGAUGUGAAAGCCCCCGGGCUCAACCGGGGAGGGUCAUUGGAAACUGGGGAACUUGAGUGCAGGAGAGGAAAGUGGAAUUCCACGUGUAGCGGUGAAAUGCGUAGAUAUGUGGAGGAACACCAGUGGCGAAGGCGACUUUCUGGCCUGUAACUGACACUGAGGCGCGGAAGCGUGGGGAGCAAACAGGAUUAGAUACCCUGGUAGUCCACGCCGUAAACGAUGAGUGCUAAGUGUUGGGGGGUUUCCGCCCCUCAGUGCUGCAGCUAACGCAUUAAGCACUCCGCCUGGGGAGUACGGUCGCAAGACUG
RNAcentral lists this ribosomal RNA (373 nucleotides) under uncultured organism. RNAcentral describes it as "partial 16S ribosomal RNA". It matches the Rfam family "Bacterial small subunit ribosomal RNA", at positions 527 to 896 of the family's 1533-position model. The record is from RNAcentral.